This 440-nucleotide ribosomal RNA is filed under the name uncultured bacterium. Its description in RNAcentral is "partial 16S ribosomal RNA". It matches the Rfam family "Bacterial small subunit ribosomal RNA", at positions 338 to 795 of the family's 1533-position model. The record is from RNAcentral.
CCUACGGAUGGCAGCAGUAGGGAAUAUUGCUCAAUGGGGGAAACCCUGAAGCAGCAACGCCGCGUGGAGGAUGAAGGUUUUCGGAUUGUAAACUCCUUUUGUUAGAGAAGAUAAUGACGGUAUCUAACGAAUAAGCACCGGCUCACUCCGUGCCAGCAGCCGCGGUCAUACGGAGGGUGCAAGCGUUACUCGGAAUCACUGGGCGUAAAGAGCGCGUAGGCGGGAUAGCAAGUCAGAUGUGAAAUCCUAUGGCUUAACCAUAGAACUGCAGUUGAGACUGUUAUUCUAGAGUAUGGGAGAGGUAGGUGGAAUUCUUGGUGGAGGGGUAAAAUCCGUAGAGAUCAAGAGGAAUACUCAUUGCGAAGGCGACCUGCUAGAACAUAACUGACGCUGAUGCGCGAAAGCGUGGGGAGCAAACAGGAUUAGAUACCCUUGGAGUC